CCUACGGGAGACAGCAGUGAGGAAUAUUGGUCAAUGGACGCAAGUCUGAACCAGCCAUGCCGCGUGCAGGAAGACGGCGCUAUGAGUUGUAAACUGCUUUUGUACGAGGGUAAACGCAGAUACGCGUAUCUGACUGAAAGUAUCGUACGAAUAAGGAUCGGCUAACUCCGUGCCAGCAGCCGCGGUAAUACGGAGGAUUCAAGCGUUAUCCGGAUUUAUUGGGUUUAAAGGGUGCGUAGGCGGGUGGAUAAGUUAGAUGUCAAAUGUCGGGGCUUAACCCCGUGCCUGCCUAUGAUACUGUUAGCCUAGAGUGCGGCUGCGGCAGGCGGAAUGCGUCGUGUAGCGGU
RNAcentral lists this ribosomal RNA (347 nucleotides) under uncultured bacterium. RNAcentral's name for it is "partial 16S ribosomal RNA". It matches the Rfam family "Bacterial small subunit ribosomal RNA", at positions 338 to 682 of the family's 1533-position model. The record is from RNAcentral.